UACGUAGGGUGCAAGCGUUGUCCGGAAUUAUUGGGCGUAAAGAGCUCGUAGGCGGUUUGUCGCGUCUGUCGUGAAAGCCCACGGCUUAACUGUGGGUCUGCGGUGGAUACGGGCAGACUAGAGGCAGGUAGGGGAGAAUGGAAUUCCAGGUGUAGCGGUGAAAUGCGUAGAUAUCUGGAGGAAUACCGGUGGCGAAGGCGGCAUCCUGGACCGGCAUUGACGCUGAGGAGCGAAAGCCAGGGGAGCAAACGGG
RNAcentral lists this ribosomal RNA (253 nucleotides) under uncultured bacterium. RNAcentral's name for it is "partial 16S ribosomal RNA". It matches the Rfam family "Bacterial small subunit ribosomal RNA", at positions 524 to 776 of the family's 1533-position model. The record is from RNAcentral.